UGAUAUGUUUGAUAUAUUAGGUUG
RNAcentral lists this non-coding RNA (24 nucleotides) under Petromyzon marinus (sea lamprey). RNAcentral also lists the same sequence under 44 other names. Lineage: Eukaryota; Metazoa; Chordata; Hyperoartia; Petromyzontiformes; Petromyzontidae. The record is from RNAcentral.